This 253-nucleotide ribosomal RNA is filed under the name uncultured bacterium. RNAcentral describes it as "partial 16S ribosomal RNA". It matches the Rfam family "Bacterial small subunit ribosomal RNA", at positions 524 to 776 of the family's 1533-position model. The record is from RNAcentral.
UACAUAGGGUGCAAGCGUUGUUCGGAAUUAUUGGGCGUAAAGCGCGUGUAGGCGGCUUUGCAAGUCGGGUGUGAAAGCCCUCGGCUCAACCGAGGAAGUGCGCCCGAAACUGCAGAGCUUGAGUACCGGAGAGGAUGGCGGAAUUCCCCAAGUAGAGGUGAAAUUCGUAGAUAUGGGGAGGAACACCGGUGGCGAAGGCGGCCAUCUGGACGGAUACUGACGCUGAGACGCGAAAGCGUGGGUAGCAAACAGG